RNAcentral lists this transfer RNA (82 nucleotides) under Komagataea norvegica. RNAcentral's name for it is "[Candida] norvegica tRNA-Ser". The record is from RNAcentral. Lineage: Eukaryota; Fungi; Ascomycota; Saccharomycetes; Phaffomycetales; Wickerhamomycetaceae.
GGAAAAUUGAUCAAGGGUAAGAUAAAUUAUUUACUAAAUAAUAGGAUAAUAAUCCUGAUGAGUUCGAAUCUCAUAUUUUCCG